RNAcentral lists this ribosomal RNA (374 nucleotides) under uncultured organism. RNAcentral's name for it is "partial 16S ribosomal RNA". It matches the Rfam family "Bacterial small subunit ribosomal RNA", at positions 528 to 897 of the family's 1533-position model. The record is from RNAcentral.
GAGGUGGCAAGCGUUGUCCGGAAUUAUUGGGGCGUAAAGCGCGCGCAGGCGGUUCUUUAAGUCUGAUGUGAAAGCCCACGGGCUCAACCGUGGAGGGUCAUUGGAAACUGGAGAACUUGAGUACAGAAGAGGAAAGCGGAAUUCCACGUGUAGCGGUGAAAUGCGUAGAGAUGUGGAGGAACACCAGUGGCGAAGGCGGCUUUCUGGUCUGUAACUGACGCUGAGGCGCGAAAGCGUGGGGAGCAAACAGGAUUAGAUACCCUGGUAGUCCACGCCGUAAACGAUGAGUGCUAAGUGUUAGGGGGUUUCCGCCCCUUAGUGCUGCAGCUAACGCAUUAAGCACUCCGCCUGGGGAGUACGGCCGCAAAGGCUGA